RNAcentral lists this ribosomal RNA (468 nucleotides) under uncultured bacterium. RNAcentral's name for it is "partial 16S ribosomal RNA". It matches the Rfam family "Bacterial small subunit ribosomal RNA", at positions 28 to 507 of the family's 1533-position model. The record is from RNAcentral.
GACGAACGCUGGCGGCGUGCUUAACACGUGCGAGUCGAACGGAAAGGCCCUGCUUUUGUGGGGUGCUCGAGUGGCGAACGGGUGAGUAACACGUGAGUAACCUGCCCUUGACUUUGGGAUAACUUCAGGAAACUGGGGCUAAUACCGGAUAGGAGCUCCUGCUGCAUGGUGGGGGUUGGAAAGUUUCGGCGGUUGGGGAUGGACUCGCGGCUUAUCAGCUUGUUGGGGGGGUAGUGGCUUACCAAGGCUUUGACGGGUAGCCCGCCUGGGAGGGUGACCGGCCACAUUGGGACUGAGGUACGGCCCAGUCGCCUACGGGCGGCAGCAGGGGGGAAUAUUGCACAAUGGGCGGGAGCCUGUUGCAGCAACCCCGCGUGCGGGAUGACGGGCUUCGGGUUGUAAACCGCUUUCGCCUGUGACGAAGCGUGAGUGACGGUAAUUGGUAAAGAAGCACCGGCUAACUACGUG